UACGUAGGGUGCAAGCGUUGUCCGGAAUUAUUGGGCGUAAAGAGCUCGUAGGCGGUUUGUCGCGUCUGCUGUGAAAACUCGGGGCUUAACCCCGGGCCUGCAGUGGGUACGGGCAGACUAGAGUGCGGUAGGGGAGACUGGAAUUCCUGGUGUAGCGGUGAAAUGCGCAGAUAUCAGGAGGAACACCGGUGGCGAAGGCGGGUCUCUGGGCCGUAACUGACGCUGAGGAGCGAAAGCGUGGGGAGCGAACAGG
RNAcentral lists this ribosomal RNA (253 nucleotides) under uncultured bacterium. RNAcentral's name for it is "partial 16S ribosomal RNA". It matches the Rfam family "Bacterial small subunit ribosomal RNA", at positions 524 to 776 of the family's 1533-position model. The record is from RNAcentral.